Molecule: ribosomal RNA, 191 nt
Filed under: uncultured bacterium
Lineage: Bacteria
Description: partial 16S ribosomal RNA
Rfam family: Bacterial small subunit ribosomal RNA
Source: RNAcentral
CGACUACAUGAAGCUGGAAUCGCUAGUAAUCGCGGAUCAGAAAUGCCGCGGUGAAUACGUUCCCGGGUCUUGUACACACCGCCCGUCACACCAUGGGAGUCGGAAAUGCCCGAAGCCGGUGACUCAACCUGCAAAGGAGAGAGCCGUCGAAGGCAGGUCUGAUAACUGGGGUGAAGUCGUAACAAGGUACC